Molecule: long non-coding RNA, 2293 nt
Organism: Pezoporus occidentalis (night parrot)
Lineage: Eukaryota; Metazoa; Chordata; Aves; Psittaciformes; Psittacidae
Exons: 3
Source: RefSeq, a predicted model, not a curated record
GACAGGUUAGAUCUGUCUGGCUCAAGGGGAACAGACAACUGUGUGAAGGCUGAGAGACACUCAAAUGUUCAAGAGCAGCUAAUGGGUUUGGACAUGCAACUGGCAGCUGAUUCCCCUGUCUUUAAAAAAUCAGGCUGCUUCAAAAUUUUUCAGAGUCAAGACAGCUAAAAUCUAGUGCCUUUGAAAAGGUAAGUUAUUUUUUACCAAUUAGGUAUUAUAGCCCAUAUGCACUUUAAAACUAAGGAUUUUAUUCCUCAAAAAAAGUACUAGCAAUUAUCUGAUGGUAUAUUUUUCUGGUAAGGGAAAGCCACACUAGAUGUGGCAGCAGGUGGACAGAAAAACGUGUAAACUUAGGGCCAGGAAAUGAUACAGUUAGAGGUCCAAGAGGAAGCAGAAAUAUAAGGUGGUACUUGCAGUGUUCAUUGAGGUCAGAAAGAUAUAGCAGUGUGUCAGAGCUGCACACACAGGGCAGAGUCAAGGCACUAAGAAUAAACACCACUGCUGUGUAUUUCAGUUUUUGUACAUUAUAAUUGCCAACUUAAUCUAAAUGUCAUGAAAGAAUGCUGCGGACAGGUGUCUCCACAUAUAAAACGUAAGGCUUUUCUCUCUCCAUUUUGUACAGAUAACAAAGCCACUGCGUAAGACAAGAUACUUGUAAUUAAGGCUUUCCAUAUCUUGCAUGUAAGUUAUCCUGCACAUGUAGGCUAUGGGUUUAUGUACAGAAUGAUAGAGGAAGCAAAAUACUUGCACAUAAUCAUAUAACAUUGUCUUAUUUCUGCUAUUGCUGACUACUCUAAACAUUGUGCAAUGAAAUUGGUGUCUAAAGUGGCAUUGAAGACAGGCAUGAAAACGGGCAUAACAAAGCAGAAGGCAUGGAACAACUGUAUUUUCCUUCUCUCUCGAUGGCAAUGCUGUUCACCCAGAAGGGGGAGAUCUCAGCCCGCAGUGAACACCCAGCUUGGAUUUCUGCUCCAUCUCGGAGCUUGUUUGACAGGAAGAUUUCGACAUAAACCAUGCAAUUUGGUGCUGGAGCACACUGGACAUCAUCUGCUUAAAAAGAUGCACAGAUAUAGUCAUCACACUUCAUAAUUUAAUAAACUGCUAAAAAAUUGCACACGUUUUCAUUUUAGCAACUUAGGUCCCACAACGAAACUCACGAUGCUACAAAGACAUUUGAAUUUUUCACUAAUAUGUCAUGAGCACUGCACCCAUUGCAAAUUAAUGAGUCUCUGAAUAGCACUGUGCAUUUGUCAUUUGAAUUUAUGCUAAUGAACUGAGGUCUCCUGAUGAUGUUGAUAGUCCACAGCAGCUGCUCAAACUAUAGAAUAUACAUGCAUGUUCUCCAUUUUUUAUUUAUCUUUCCUUGGAUUUUUCUGGUCUAUCAUUUGGGCUGCAGUCCUGCAGCUGAUUAUUGAUAGGGCUGCUAAUUCUCUUUGACUUUACACUACAGGCUUGACCCACAACCCUCAGAAGAAGUAAUGGACCAGUGUUGAGAGAAUUAUGUACAUCACACAGCAACAACCUCAGAUCAGCAGGUCAAAAGGAGUUCAUUGAGAACCAAUGAUGUUUACAAAGAGUGUUGGCAUGUUCUGAUGCCUUACACAACAGUUUUCCCUUUAAAAUAAAUCUUUGGGACAGAAGAUAAAAUAAAUGCCAUGCUCUAGUGACUGGCAUGUACCAACUAGAGUCAUAUUCACAUGAGAAAACUGCUUGACAAAUAUUUCAUCUAUCUGAGAUAUUUUCCAUCUGAGUUGCCUUGCUAUUCUGUUCCCACAGCAUUCUCUGCAUUGCACAGUGGAAAAGCAAAGACAUUUAACUUCUGCAGUGGACUGGGAGCUUCAGAUGUUAAAAACCAGGUCUUUAUUUUUUUUUCAGGUCUUUUUUUUUUUUUUUUUUUCCUGUUGGCAUAGAAUAAUGGAAACAAACUUAAUAGCAUCACUUUUCUCUGAAUACGUCUGCAUAAAAGGAGAAAAUCUGGAAGAGGUUAGCUAUAUAACUCAAAAGCCCUUGCAUACAAUAGCUAAAAAUUCCCAUGAACUCAGACUAUUUAUGUAUUUUUUGUAAAAUCAUGAAAAGGACACAAAAACAUCUUUCUCGUCAUUAACAGAGGAAUGUAACUUGCCUAACUAUACAAAAGUACAACUGACAGAAAAUAAGCAAAACAUUCAGAAAUACCUGUAUUCCAAAUCAUGAGGACAUUGAAAUAAUUUUAUGCAGGUCAAUUUAUUGGAAACCCUUGUUACAAUUAACUGAGCAGGUAAUUUUUAACAUAAAUUUAUAAUGACAGUUCUUG